This 440-nucleotide long non-coding RNA is filed under the name Lupinus angustifolius (narrow-leaved blue lupine). RNAcentral describes it as "long non-coding RNA (LANG_LNC003226)". Lineage: Eukaryota; Viridiplantae; Streptophyta; Magnoliopsida; Fabales; Fabaceae. The record is from RNAcentral.
GGCGUGCAAGUAAGGACGGAGGAUUUCAAAUUCAAACAUGAAUUCUUCUCCGUUAAGGAGGUGUGUAGUAUGAUACAAAGUUAGCAUAUGAAGAUCAAAGUCAUUUUUCGAUCAUCAAAUCAAGACGAAUUCUUUCCAUAUUCAAAAUAUGGCAUAAUUGAGACUUGCCAUAUGAAGCCAAGGCCAUGAAUCAUCAUCAAAUCAAGAGGAAUUUUUUCCAUAUUCAAAAGGUGGUAUAAUUGAGACUUGCCAUAUGAAGCCAAGGUUAUGAGUCAUCCUCAAAUCAUGAGGAUUUCUUUCCACAUUCAAAUAAGGAAUGAAUGAGACUUACUAAAUGAGAACCCUAGGCCAUGUAAUCAUUAUCAAGUCAAACAAAAAUCGUUCCAUACGAAGCUAAUCGUGAAAAACAAGGAUUGACAUUUCAAAUCUUACUAUACAAG